GAUGAACGCUGGCUACAGGCUUAACACAUGCAAGUCGAGGGGAAACGCCGGGGAAGCUUGCUUCCCCGGGCGUCGACCGGCGCACGGGUGAGUAACGCGUAUCCAACCUGCCUCUGACUGAGGGAUAACCCGUCGAAAGUCGGCCUAAUACCUCAUGGCAUCGUCUGCGGGCAUCCAACGACGAUUAAAGAUUUCAUCGGUCAGGGAUGGGGAUGCGUCUGAUUAGCUUGUUGGCGGGGUAACGGCCCACCAAGGCUACGAUCAGUAGGGGUUCUGAGAGGAAGGUCCCCCACAUUGGAACUGAGACACGGUCCAAACUCCUACGGGAGGCAGCAGUGAGGAAUAUUGGUCAAUGGGCGGGAGCCUGAACCAGCCAAGUAGCGUGCAGGAGGACGGCCCUAUGGGUUGUAAACUGCUUUUAGGCGGGGAUAAAGUGAGGGACGUGUCCUUCAUUGCAGGUACCGCAUGAAUAAGAACCGGCUAAUUCCGUG
This 491-nucleotide ribosomal RNA is filed under the name uncultured bacterium. RNAcentral's name for it is "partial 16S ribosomal RNA". It matches the Rfam family "Bacterial small subunit ribosomal RNA", at positions 28 to 507 of the family's 1533-position model. The record is from RNAcentral.